RNAcentral lists this ribosomal RNA (447 nucleotides) under uncultured bacterium. RNAcentral describes it as "bacterial SSU rRNA". It matches the Rfam family "Bacterial small subunit ribosomal RNA", at positions 330 to 794 of the family's 1533-position model. The record is from RNAcentral.
ACCAGACUCCUACGGGAGGCAGCAGUGGGGGAUAUUGCACAAUGGGGGGAACCCUGAUGCAGCGACGCCGCGUGGGUGAGGAAGUACCCCGGUAUGUAAAGCCCUUUCGGCAGGGAAGAAAAUGACGGUACCUGAAGAAGAAGCCCCGGCUAACUACGUGCCAGCAGCCGCGGUAAUACGUAGGGGGCAAGCGUUAUCCGGAUUUACUGGGUGUAAAGGGGGCGCAGACGGCGAUGCAAGCCAGGAGUGAAAGCCCGGGGCCCAACCCCGGGACUGCUCUUGGAACUGCGUGGCUGGAGUGCAGGAGGGGCAGGCGGAAUUCCUGGUGUAGCGGUGAAAUGCGUAGAUAUCAGGAGGAACACCGGCGGCGAAGGCGGCCUGCUGGACUGAAACUGACGUUGAGGCUCGAAAGCGUGGGGAGCAAACAGGAUUAGAUACCCCGGUAGU